This is a small nuclear RNA of Myodes glareolus (Bank vole), 102 nucleotides long. NCBI's taxonomy places the organism in Eukaryota, Metazoa, Chordata, Mammalia, Rodentia, Cricetidae. The record is from RefSeq and is a predicted model, not a curated record.
GGACCCUUCAGAAGUACAUAUACUAAAAUUGGAAUGACACAAAGUUUAGCAUGACCCCUGAGCAAGAAUGACAGGCAAAUUCAAGAAGCAUUCCAUCUACCC